GGGGGACUUAGUGACCCGGCUCGGGCCGGGAUGUUCACAACCCUUUGUUGUCCGACUCUGUUGCCUCCGGGGCGACCCUGCCUCCGGGCGGGGGCCCCGGGUGGACAUUUCAAACUCUUGCGUAACUUUGCAGUCUGAGUAAAUUUAAUUAAUAAAUUAAAACUUUCAACAACGGAUCUCUUGGUUCUGGCAUCGAUGAAGAACGCAGCGAAAUGCGAUAAGUAAUGUGAAUUGCAGAAUUCAGUGAAUCAUCGAAUCUUUGAACGCACAUUGCGCCCCCUGGUAUUCCGGGGGGCAUGCCUGUUCGAGCGUCAUUUCACCACUCAAGCCUCGCUUGGUAUUGGGCGACGCGGUCCGCCGCGCGCCUCAAAUCGACCGGCUGGGUCUUUCGUCCCCUCAGCGUUGUGGAAACUAUUCGCUAAAGGGUGCCGCGGGAGGCCACGCCGUAAAACAACCCCAUUUCUAAGGUUGACCUCGGAUCAGGUAGGGAUACCCGCUGAACUUAAGCAUAUCAAUAAGCGGAGGAA
RNAcentral lists this ribosomal RNA (527 nucleotides) under Cladosporium sphaerospermum. RNAcentral describes it as "eukaryotic LSU rRNA". The stretch from base 161 to 314 matches the Rfam family "5.8S ribosomal RNA". Lineage: Eukaryota; Fungi; Ascomycota; Dothideomycetes; Cladosporiales; Cladosporiaceae. The record is from RNAcentral.